CAAGCAGGAGGUGUAUCCUUACCUGUUACUUCAGUAAUGAAGUACUAUAAAAUGAUGAAUGGAGCGAAAUGAGCUGGUGAUUAACCGCUCCCAGUUUAAUAGGAUUUGCAACACCUAUUAAACUCCGUUCUGAU
This 134-nucleotide small nucleolar RNA is filed under the name Scleropages formosus (Asian bonytongue). Its description in RNAcentral is "U8 small nucleolar RNA (ENSSFOG00015018645.2)". It matches the Rfam family "U8 small nucleolar RNA". Rfam says of the family: U8 is a member of the C/D class of snoRNA which contain the C (UGAUGA) and D (CUGA) box motifs. The record is from RNAcentral. Lineage: Eukaryota; Metazoa; Chordata; Actinopteri; Osteoglossiformes; Osteoglossidae.